AUUGAACGCUGGCGGCAGGCUUAACACAUGCAAGUCGAGCGGAGAUGAGGUGCUUGCACCUUAUCUUAGCGGCGGACGGGUGAGUAAUGCUUAGGAAUCUGCCUAUUAGUGGGGGACAACAUUCCGAAAGGAAUGCUAAUACCGCAUACGUCCUACGGGAGAAAGCAGGGGAUCUUCGGACCUUGCGCUAAUAGAUGAGCCUAAGUCGGAUUAGCUAGUUGGUGGGGUAAGGGCCUACCAAGGCGACGAUCUGUAGCGGGUCUGAGAGGAUGAUCCGCCACACUGGGACUGAGACACGGCCCAGACUCCUACGGGAGGCAGCAGUGGGGAAUAUUGGACAAUGGAGGAAACCCUGAUCCAGCCAUGCCGCGUGUGUGAAGAAGGCCUUAUGGUUGUAAAGCACUUUAAGCGAGGAGGAGGCUACUGAGACUAAUACUCUUGGAUAGUGGACGUUACUCGCAGAAUAAGCACCGGCUAACUCUGUGCCAGCAGCCGCGGUAA
This 501-nucleotide ribosomal RNA is filed under the name uncultured bacterium. RNAcentral describes it as "partial 16S ribosomal RNA". It matches the Rfam family "Bacterial small subunit ribosomal RNA", at positions 30 to 523 of the family's 1533-position model. The record is from RNAcentral.